This 333-nucleotide ribosomal RNA is filed under the name uncultured bacterium. RNAcentral's name for it is "bacterial SSU rRNA". It matches the Rfam family "Bacterial small subunit ribosomal RNA", at positions 30 to 372 of the family's 1533-position model. The record is from RNAcentral.
AUUGAACGCUGGCGGCAGGCCUAACACAUGCAAGUCGAGCGGGGUUUUCGGACCUAGCGGCGGACGGGUGAGUAAUGCGUAGGAAGCUACCCGACAGAGGGGGAUACCAGUUGGAAACGACUGUUAAUACCCGCAUAAUGUCUACGGACCAAAGUGUGGGACCUUCGGGCCACAUGCUGUCGGAUGCGCCUACGUGGGAUUAGCUAGUUGGUGAGGUAAUGGCUCACCAAGGCGACGAUCCCUAGCUGGUUUGAGAGGAGUGAUCAGCCACACCUGGAACUGAGACACGGUCCAGACUCCUACGGGAGGCAGCAGUGGGGAAUAUUGGACAAU